GCCUGUAUGGCGGAAUUGGUAGACGCGAUAGACUCAAAAUCUAUUUUCAGUAAUGGAGUUCCGGUUCGAGUCCGGAUACAGGCACCA
RNAcentral lists this transfer RNA (87 nucleotides) under Clostridium sp. CAG:609. Its description in RNAcentral is "transfer RNA-Leu(CAA)". It matches the Rfam family "tRNA". Rfam says of the family: Transfer RNA (tRNA) molecules are approximately 80 nucleotides in length. Their secondary structure includes four short double-helical elements and three loops (D, anti-codon, and T loops). The record is from RNAcentral. Lineage: Bacteria; Bacillati; Bacillota; Clostridia; Eubacteriales; Clostridiaceae.